GAGGUAUGCUGAAAGGUUUAGAAAGAACACAAUUCUAAUAAUGUCCAAGGAAAGUUUAUUGGAGCAACGCAGUAGUGUCCCUAGAAGUCUUCUGUAGGAUCCUUGCAUUUUGGCUGAAGCCCAGACUGUGGUGUUUCUCUGAGCCAAGAUGGCCUCUGAGCAGGCAGGGAUUUGGAAACAGGUGUGCAUUAUUGAGACAGACACACCUGGGCAUUCCAUGUGGGAAUUUUAGGGCUUUUGGGAUUGGUUCCCAUGGAAUUAGCCAAACCCCUGGAAUUAAUGAAGAGGCUUAUAAAAGUGAAGCUGGGAAGGAAGAUAUUUAGAUUGUGCUUUGUGUUGGAGAGGAACAGGGACCUUAUAAACUCCUUCAUGGUUGUGGACCACUGCAGUCAUUUCACUACUGUACAAGACUACAUCCUCUUGUGUAGAUGGUGCUUUUCAUCCUGGAGUACUUUCCAUGUUGACAGGAAUUGACUUCACCUGUCCUGGAAAUGCAGCACUACAAGAUUUGCUUCCUGACUGCAAAGUUCACCUGGACAAAGCUUAGACACCAGAAACAAGCUCCAUUGUCUGCUGGGGGCUGGAGGUCCUGCAUUUCCUAUUGGUCAGAUGCUCAUGUACUGAGGAGCUCCUCUUUUGGUCAGUGAGAGGAGGUGUCUCUUCAAUUCCUAUUGGUCCCAUUUAGGGAGCUGAGCAGCCAAUCACAGCUGGUGACAACGCUGGAUGAUCUUCAUACACUGAUCUAUGGAGGAGGAUAUGUUUUGGAGUUUCUGACCUUUUGCUGUAACUGACACCCAACGAAGGCUCCACAGCUGGAAUGUUUUUUUCCAUUUCAUCAGGGAAUAAAUAUUGACAUGCCCCCCUUACAAAUGUGUUUGACAACAGAAUCCACCUUUAAGUACUGUAACAUUGUGUAUAUGGGUGAAUAGAUGUAUGGCGAUUAUUGCAACUGGUGUGGAUGUUGGUUUUUGUGCAAACCUGUUAUUUUUGGGUUGACUACUAAGUAAACCUGGCGUUUGUGUGUUAUGGUGACUGGGAGAUGUGCCACAGUCUGUACACAUAGCGUCUAAGUUUAACAGUGGAGGACUUGGUCAAUGUUGCUGUGCUCACUGAAGCAGGAGCCAUUUUUAAUAACUAGCUAUACAGCACUUGACUGUAGUAAAAGCCACAUAAGAAGUGUUCUUUACAAGCUGGGAUGCUUAAAAGGAAUAUAGCUGGAUUGCAUUUUAACCCUGCUGUUGUGCAGUGACAAAGUUAUUAGCUAUUCCAAAUUGUCUUGGUGGGGAAGUAUUUUCAUUAAUCUUUUCCUUUAACUUCAUAACAUUGCACUAACAAAACUGUUUCUGUUAUUUGGGAAAAUUUCAAAUCCAGACUAGGAGGAAAAACAAAAUCCCUGAGAAAAGCUGGCACUAGCAAAACUGAUGUAAUUACCAUAGAAACCCUUUAAUCUUUCAUUUAAA
Molecule: non-coding RNA, 1460 nt
Organism: Lepisosteus oculatus (spotted gar)
Lineage: Eukaryota; Metazoa; Chordata; Actinopteri; Semionotiformes; Lepisosteidae
Source: RefSeq, a predicted model, not a curated record